This 327-nucleotide ribosomal RNA is filed under the name uncultured eukaryote. RNAcentral's name for it is "partial 18S ribosomal RNA". It matches the Rfam family "Eukaryotic small subunit ribosomal RNA", at positions 1470 to 1796 of the family's 1831-position model. The record is from RNAcentral.
CCCUUAGAUGUUCUGGGCCGCACACGCGCUACACUGAAGGAGGCAGCGUGUACUCCUGGAUCGAAAGAUUUGGGUAACCCGCGAAUCUCCUUCGUGCUAGGGAUUGAGGUUUGCAAUUAUCCUUCAUGAACGAGGAAUUCCCAAUAAGUGCAAGUCAUAAGCUUGCGCUGACUACGUCCCUGCCCUUUGUACACACCGCCCGUCGCUACUACCGAUUGAAUGAUUUAGUGAGGACUUCGGACUGGGACCGAUGCGGCUUUCGGGCUGCGUCGGUAUUCUGGAAAGAUGUCCAAACUGUAUCAUUUAGAGGAAGUAAAAGUCGUAACA